This is a non-coding RNA of Loxodonta africana (African savanna elephant), 71 nucleotides long. The record is from the annotation of a RefSeq genome assembly. NCBI's taxonomy places the organism in Eukaryota, Metazoa, Chordata, Mammalia, Proboscidea, Elephantidae.
GCAUUGGUGGCUCAGUGGUAGAAUUCCCACCUAUCAUGCAGGAGACCCAGGUUCGAUUCCCGGCCAAUGCA